UUAUGGAGAGUUUGAUCCUGGCUCAGGAUAAACGCUGGCGGCGUGCCUUACCAAUGCGAGUCGAACGAGGUCAGACUUCGGUCUGGUUGAGUGGCGUCCGGGUGCGUGACACGUCGGUGACCUACCCAUUUGUGGGGAAUACCCUGCCGAAAGGUGGGCUAAUACCGCAUACGAUCCCUUCGUCGCAGAAGGGAUGAAAGCUCGCAAGGGCGCUGAUGGAGGGGCCGGCGGCCUAUCAGCUAGUUGGUGGNNGUAAAGGCCUACCAAGGCAACGACGGGGAGCCGAUCUGAGAGGAUGAACGGCCACAGUGGGACUGAGAUAUGGUCCACAGCCCUACGGGGUUUAGCAUGGAGGAAUCUUGCGCAACAUCCGACAGGAUGGCGCAGCAACGCCGCGUGGGGGAUGAAGCCGUUUGCGGUGUAAACCCCUGUUGCUCGGGAAGAAGUACCGUCGGGGAGAGCCUGACGGGAAGACGGUACCGGGCGAGGAAGCCCCGGCUAACUACGUGCCAGCAGCCGCGGUAAGACGUAGGGGGCGAGCGUUAUCCGGAUUUAUUGGGCGUAAAGCGCGCGCAGGCGGACCGCAGCAGUGGCGUGUGGAAUCUCCCGGCUCACCCGGGAGGGGUCAUGCCAGACGGGCGGUCUUGAGGCAAACAGUGGGUCGCGGAACGGGCAGAGUAGGGGUGAAAUCCGUAGAGACUGUCCGGAACACCAGAGGCGAAGGCGGCGACCUAGGUUUGAGAAGCAGUCGCGAGACUGUCCUGACGCUCAGGCGCGAAAGCGUGGGUAGCGAACGGAAUUAGAUACUCCGGUAGUCCACGCCCUAAACGAUGGCCACUCGGUGUCGGGGGUAUCGACCCCCUCGGUGCCUUAGCUAACGCGGUAAGUGGCCCGCCUGGGGACUACGGCCGCAAGGCUAAAA
RNAcentral lists this ribosomal RNA (922 nucleotides) under Chloroflexota bacterium. Its description in RNAcentral is "bacterial SSU rRNA". It matches the Rfam family "Bacterial small subunit ribosomal RNA", at positions 1 to 899 of the family's 1533-position model. Lineage: Bacteria; Bacillati; Chloroflexota. The record is from RNAcentral.